RNAcentral lists this ribosomal RNA (301 nucleotides) under uncultured bacterium. RNAcentral describes it as "partial 16S ribosomal RNA". It matches the Rfam family "Bacterial small subunit ribosomal RNA", at positions 509 to 807 of the family's 1533-position model. The record is from RNAcentral.
CAGCAGCCACGGGAAUACGUAGGGUGCGAGCGUUAAUCGGAAUUACUGGGCGUAAAGCGUGCGCAGGCGGUUGUGUAAGACAGGUGUGAAAUCCCCGGGCUUAACCUGGGAACUGCGCUUGUGACUGCACAGCUAGAGUAUGGCAGAGGGGGGUGGAAUUCCACGUGUAGCAGUGAGAUGCGUAGAGAUGUGGAGGAACACCGAUGGCGAAGGCAGCCCCCUGGGCCAAUACUGACGCUCAUGCACGAAAGCGUGGGGAGCAAACAGGAUUAGAUACCCCUGUAGUCCCUGUCUCUUAUAC